UCCCUAAAAUUCCUACUUUUUCCUAUUUUUUUUCAGUUUGGCUAAAAUUCCUAUUUUUUUAAAAAAAAUCAAAGGAAAUUCCUAAAAAGGCCCUAUUUUUUCACAAAGAUUCCUAAUUUUUAAACAUUUUUGCAAUGAUCAAAAGGAGAAAAUGUUUUAAAUGUUGUUUAAAAGUUCUUCUAAUUCAGAAAAAAACAGUUUAGCACAGUUCAAAGCAGUUUACCAGUGGAUCCAUGUGUUCAGCUUGUUAUUGGUUGUGACUAGAUGACAGAGAUAGGAUUUCUGAAGGAUACAGCCAACAAUAGCUGAAAACAGUGGAAAGCUGGUAGACGUCUUUUCUGUAAAUAAAGCACUAUUUGUGAGUUACUUUUAUGUCAAUCACAUAAAGGUAAGCACAUUACAUGGUCUUUAAAGUCCAUAUUUUAAUUUGAAAAUUCCUAAAUUUAGCCCUAAAAUUUCCUUUAAAUUGUACCAAAUUCCUAAUUUUAGCCCUAUUUUUUUGUACAAAUUGCCCUAAAAUUAGCCCUAAUUUUUUGUCAGGGUAUGCUAGACAGCCUGUAUAG
This is a long non-coding RNA of Mercenaria mercenaria, 563 nucleotides long. RefSeq lists it as uncharacterized. The transcript has 2 exons. The record is from RefSeq and is a predicted model, not a curated record. NCBI's taxonomy places the organism in Eukaryota, Metazoa, Mollusca, Bivalvia, Venerida, Veneridae.